This 321-nucleotide long non-coding RNA is filed under the name Mustela putorius furo (domestic ferret). RNAcentral describes it as "lncRNA (ENSMPUG00000024705.1)". Lineage: Eukaryota; Metazoa; Chordata; Mammalia; Carnivora; Mustelidae. The record is from RNAcentral.
CCCCAGAGGAAUCUAUUUAUUCCCCUGCACGGAUACUGAAAACAAAUUGAACCUAAUGAACUCUGUUCCUUGAUUCAUUUCUGGAUAUUUUUAAAGGACAGAAGACACUGUUUCUGCAAGACGAGAGUUCUGAGUUCUGGCACCGGCUCCACCAUUCACCACUGUGUGUCCUACGGGAAGUCAUUUCCUCUGGUUCACUCUGUCUCCACUGUAAAAUGGAUACAUUCCUACCCUACAAAGUUGUUUCAGGAUCACACAGGUCAUGCAUGUUACAGGCAAAAAAACCUGCAAUACUCUUAUAAUAAACCAUUAUGAUUUCUA